Solirubrobacterales bacterium 67-14 is the source of this 72-nucleotide non-coding RNA. The record is from Rfam. Lineage: Bacteria; Bacillati; Actinomycetota; Thermoleophilia; Solirubrobacterales.
UCCGGGAUGGUGUAAUCGGUAGCACACCGGUUUUUGGUACCGGCAGUGGAGGUUCGAGUCCUCCUCCCGGAG